ACGAAUUUUUCCGAUAAAAGAAUUCUAAAAAUCUUCUUUUUUAAGAAAAUAAACUUCACGAAAAUAAAUUUAAUUACCACAUCUUUCUUUCUUCUUCUCUCCCCCUUUUCUUCUUUCAAAACCCUAUUCCACGCACUCUCUAUCUAGUAUUAACCGCUCCUAUAUAUACUGAAUUAAAAAAGCUUUUGCAGGGAAGCAGAACCUUCUUAUUUUCUACAUUUGUUCGCACCCCACCAUCUCUACGACUCUAGAACUUACAUAAAUAAUCACACUAUUAUCUACAUUCUAGUCCAAUGAAA
RNAcentral lists this long non-coding RNA (299 nucleotides) under Ananas comosus (pineapple). RNAcentral's name for it is "long non-coding RNA (ACOM_LNC019413)". Lineage: Eukaryota; Viridiplantae; Streptophyta; Magnoliopsida; Poales; Bromeliaceae. The record is from RNAcentral.